Small nucleolar RNA from Lotus japonicus, 82 nucleotides. RefSeq annotates it as small nucleolar RNA U54. The record is from RefSeq and is a predicted model, not a curated record. The transcript has a single exon. Lineage: Eukaryota; Viridiplantae; Streptophyta; Magnoliopsida; Fabales; Fabaceae.
UGCUCUGUGAUUUUCUGCCUUAGUUGCAGUAUACGCUAUUCUGAUUCUAAUCAUGAAAGAUAUUUCAUUGUAUAUGAGAGCA